This 460-nucleotide ribosomal RNA is filed under the name uncultured bacterium. RNAcentral's name for it is "partial 16S ribosomal RNA". It matches the Rfam family "Bacterial small subunit ribosomal RNA", at positions 338 to 795 of the family's 1533-position model. The record is from RNAcentral.
CCUACGGGUGGCAGCAGUGAGGAAUAUUGGUCAAUGGACGGAAGUCUGAACCAGCCAAGCCGCGUGCAGGAAGACGGCCCUAUGAGUUGUAAACUGCUUUUGUACAAGGGUAAACCUGAAUACGUGUAUUCAGCUGAAAGUACUGUACGAAUAAGGAUCGGCUAACUCCGUGCCAGCAGCCGCGGUAAUACGGAGGAUCCGAGCGUUAUCCGGAUUUAUUGGGUUUAAAGGGUGCGUAGGCGGAUUGUUAAGUUAGUGGUGAAAGGUCCGAGCUUAACUCGGGAACUGCAGUUAAUACUGGUGAUCUAGAGAGUAGAUGAGGUAGGCGGAAUGUAUGGUGUAGCGGUGAAAUGCUUAGAGAUCAUGCAGAACACCGAUUGCGAAGGCAGCUUACCAAUCUAUAUCUGACGUUGAGGCACGAAAGCGUGGGGAGCAAACAGGAUUAGAUACACCAGUAGUC